This 71-nucleotide transfer RNA is filed under the name Allobates sp. Neblina. RNAcentral describes it as "tRNA-Gln". It matches the Rfam family "tRNA". From Rfam's summary of the family: Transfer RNA (tRNA) molecules are approximately 80 nucleotides in length. Their secondary structure includes four short double-helical elements and three loops (D, anti-codon, and T loops). The record is from RNAcentral. Lineage: Eukaryota; Metazoa; Chordata; Amphibia; Anura; Aromobatidae.
UAGAGAAUAAUAAAAUGGAAUUAUAGAGUGUUUUGAUCUCUCAGUUGUAGGUUCAAUUCCUAUUUUUUUAA